This 293-nucleotide ribosomal RNA is filed under the name Calyptommatus nicterus. RNAcentral's name for it is "partial 12S ribosomal RNA". It matches the Rfam family "Bacterial small subunit ribosomal RNA", at positions 884 to 1344 of the family's 1533-position model. The record is from RNAcentral. Lineage: Eukaryota; Metazoa; Chordata; Lepidosauria; Squamata; Gymnophthalmidae.
GAGCGAAAGCCUAAAACUCAAAAGACUUGACGGUGUCCUAAUCUACCUAGAGGAGCCUGUUCCAUAAUCGAUAACCCACGAUAAACCCGACCACCCUUUGAAAUUUCAGCCUAUAUACCGCCGUCGACAGCCCACCUUAUAAAAGAACAAGAGUAGGCCAAAUAGGACUCACCCCUAAAAAGUCAGGUCAAGGUGUAGCUAAUAAGGUGGAGACAAUGGGCUACAUUUUCUAUAAUAGAACACACGAACUAGUUUAUUAAACAAAACUACGAAGGCGGAUUUAGCAGUAAGCU